GGAGUUAGCCGGUGCUUCUUCUGUGAGUGAUGUCCUUCCUGCCGGCUAUUAACCCGCAGGCCUUCUUCCUCACUGAAAGUGCUUUACAACCCGAAGGCCUUCUUCACACACGCGGCAUGGCUGGAUCAGGGUUGCCCCCAUUGUCCAAUAUUCCCCACUGCUGCCUCCCGUAGGAGUCUGGGCCGUGUCUCAGUCCCAGUGUGGCUGAUCAUCCUCUCAGACCAGCUACGGAUCGUCGCCUUGGUGAGCCGUUACCUCACCAACCAGCUAAUCCGACAUAGGCUCAUCCGAUAGCGCGAGGCCCGAAGGUCCCCCGCUUUCCCCCGUAGGGCGUAUGCGGUAUUAGCCUGGGUUUCCCCAGGUUAUCCCCCACUACCGGGCAGAUUCCUAUGCAUUACUCACCCGUCCGCCGCUCGCCACCAGGGAGCAAGCUCCCCGUGCUGCCGCUCGACUUGCAUGUGUUAGGCCUGCCGCCAGCGUUCAAUCUGAGCCAGAAUCAAACCUACUACGA
This 511-nucleotide ribosomal RNA is filed under the name uncultured bacterium. RNAcentral's name for it is "partial 16S ribosomal RNA". The record is from RNAcentral.